GGAUGACUGUGAGUUAACUGGAGAGGUGAUGAAGCUUGCCUGUCAAUUGACGGGUGAUCUACUUCUGACCUUGGGUGAUACAUUUAAAAAGCUGAACCUGAACUUAAACUUGGGUGCUGUGAAAGGUGUUGUUAAAGUAUUGGGCUGAAGAAGAGGAGUCUUCAACACAGAAUUAUUUUGUGAAAUCAGAUAAAAUAAUUUUAUGAUCUUUCGGUGUACACUGGUGUAUUUCUGUUACUCUAUGACUGGUGAUAUAUGAGUAUGUUACUAGUUUAAUCACUAUCU
Long non-coding RNA from Pseudophryne corroboree (corroboree frog), 285 nucleotides. RefSeq lists it as uncharacterized. The transcript is spliced from 4 exons. The record is from RefSeq and is a predicted model, not a curated record. Lineage: Eukaryota; Metazoa; Chordata; Amphibia; Anura; Myobatrachidae.